Non-coding RNA from Camellia sinensis, 521 nucleotides. Lineage: Eukaryota; Viridiplantae; Streptophyta; Magnoliopsida; Ericales; Theaceae. The record is from RefSeq and is a predicted model, not a curated record.
UCUCUCUCUCUUUCUCCCUCUCUCUUAAUCGUUUUGUAUUUUUUUCCCUUUAAUUUUCAGCCCCGUUUCCUCUCUCUCAUUUGUUUCAUAACCCUAACCCAACCCGUCUUUGAAAGAGACGCUAAGACCUAACGACGUGGAAACGAAGGCGAUGUGACUCCGCAACUAGGCGAGGGGAGGCGGCAGCAAGGCAAGGGAAGGUGACGACCGACAAGAAUCUUAUAGCAACAGGGCUAUGUAACCACUUUGUUCUCUGCAGGGUACUACUUGUCAUAUGGCUACCAUACAUUUUCUGCUGCUAUAGUUCUUUACUACAAAAGGGAGAUUAUUUUGCUUUGUUUGGAUGCUGGGAGGGUCAUCUUAUGCUAGGAGUGAAAAAUUACUUGUAAGAGAAGUGACUGCUAUUCUUGAUGAGUUGGCAGUAGAGAGAAAUGCAUAAAAAUGGCUACUGUUGAAGAGGAAGGAAGCACAAGUCCACUUCCUGAAAGGGUAUGAUUCAAAUUGUUUUAAUUUAAUAUCUA